This 437-nucleotide ribosomal RNA is filed under the name uncultured Oscillospiraceae bacterium. Its description in RNAcentral is "partial 16S ribosomal RNA". It matches the Rfam family "Bacterial small subunit ribosomal RNA", at positions 341 to 792 of the family's 1533-position model. Lineage: Bacteria; Bacillati; Bacillota; Clostridia; Eubacteriales; Oscillospiraceae. The record is from RNAcentral.
ACGGAAGGCAGCAGUGGGGAAUAUUGGGCAAUGGGCGAAAGCCUGACCCAGCAACGCCGCGUGAAGGAAGAGGGUCUUCGGAUUGUAAACUUCUUUUAUGAGGGACGAAACAAAUGACGGUACCUCAUGAAUAAGCCACGGCUAACUACGUGCCAGCAGCCGCGGUAAUACGUAGGUGGCAAGCGUUAUCCGGAUUUACUGGGUGUAAAGGGCGCGUAGGCGGGAAUGCAAGUCAGAUGUGAAAUCUCUGGGCUCAACCCAGAAACUGCAUUUGAAACUGUAUUUCUUGAGUGCUGGAGAGGUAGAUGGAAUUCCUAGUGUAGCGGUGAAAUGCGUAGAUAUUAGGAAGAACACCAGUGGCGAAGGCGAUCUACUGGACAGUAACUGACGCUGAGGCGCGAAAGCGUGGGGAGCAAACAGGAUUAGAUACCCUGGUA